This 1106-nucleotide long non-coding RNA is filed under the name Carica papaya (papaya). RNAcentral describes it as "long non-coding RNA (CPAP_LNC003686)". The record is from RNAcentral. Lineage: Eukaryota; Viridiplantae; Streptophyta; Magnoliopsida; Brassicales; Caricaceae.
CAGCUUGUAAGUUUUAUUUCUACGAAACAUAUAAAUAGUUGAAUACAGCUUAUCAACUCUUGUUAUCCAAACAAUGUAACAGCUUUUUCUUUUUAAUAGAAACUUCAACAGCUUUCAUGUUAACAACUUCUAAGCUUCUAUACCUUCACUUGAACCAAGCACUCUUAAGGAUUUGAGCUCCUGUAUUGACUUGGCAAUAUAGCAACAUAAAUUCAUCAUACAAUUUAACUAGAGUAACAGGUUAGGAAAUAGAAAAAAAGAAAUUAUAAUAUUAAAUACAAUCCAUUAUAGUUUUGUUUUUCCAACACAUGCAACUUGGAGUUUAAAUUUGAGUUCCUAAAAAGAAAGGAGUUUAAGCUUGAGUUUCCAUCUUGCACUUAUUAUGAAGGUAAUUAUUGUCAUUUUCAAAAUCUUUGUUUGACUUUUGGGGUGUGCUUUUUCUUUUUUUUUAAAAAAAAAUUCUUUCUUUACUCUUACUCCAGUUGGGGCAUGGAAUGAUAAAAUGCAUGGUUUGUGAUAAAACAAGAUCAGAUAUAGAAGUUUGCUUCUUUUAAUUUCUUUCUUGAUUCUUUGCUUUGUUCAUCCAUUGCUACUCUAAGAGUAAUUUAUUUACCUUAUGAUUUCAGCAACGCAGUUUCAAUCUUUGGAGCCAAGUGGAAUUGACCUUAAAGCAGAUUGACACUGCUGGAACAGAACUUGAGUGCUUCCAAGCUUUGCAAAAGCAAGAACAGAUAGCAGCAUCACACAGAGUAAAUAAUAUUUGGGAGGAAGUGCAGAAGCAAAAGGAGCUUGAGCAAACUUUACAACGGCGCUACGGAAAUCUAUUAGCUGAGCUGGAGAGGAUACAAAAGCUUGUGGUCGAGUAUAGAGCUGAAGCAAAAAAACAAGAAGAAAUUGCUGAGAAGAAUCAUGCUCUUCAGUUGUCUGAGGUGGCAACCGAGGAAUCCACUGAGAUCUCAGAGCCCUUACCAUCCUUGGAUACAUCUGCAAGCUCUGUGCCAGGUGACCCAUCUCACGAUGGCACUCCAGGUCAGAAAAUGGAUGUUGAUCAAGAGGAAGCGCACGCAGGAACAGCUGUAGAUGUAAGCAUAUCUACUGAUAUGCCU